UGCAAGUCGAGCGGACAGAAGGGAGCUUGCUCCCGGAUGUUAGCGGCGGACGGGUGAGUAACACGUGGGUAACCUGCCUGUAAGACUGGGAUAACUCCGGGAAACCGGAGCUAAUACCGGAUAGUUCCUUGAACCGCAUGGUUCAAGGAUGAAAGACGGUUUCGGCUGUCACUUACAGAUGGACCCGCGGCGCAUUAGCUAGUUGGUGAGGUAACGGCUCACCAAGGCGACGAUGCGUAGCCGACCUGAGAGGGUGAUCGGCCACACUGGGACUGAGACACGGCCCAGACUCCUACGGGAGGCAGCAGUAGGGAAUCUUCCGCAAUGGACGAAAGUCUGACGGAGCAACGCCGCGUGAGUGAUGAAGGUUUUCGGAUCGUAAAGCUCUGUUGUUAGGGAAGAACAAGUGCAAGAGUAACUGCUUGCACCUUGACGGUACCUAACCAGAAAGCCACGGCUAACUACGUGCCAGCAGCCGCGGUAAUACGUAGGUGGCAAGCGUUGUCCGGGAAUUAUUGGGCGUAAAGGGCUCGCAGGCGGUUUCUUAAGUCUGAUGUGAAAGCCCCCGGCUCAACCGGGGAGGGUCAUUGGAAACUGGGAAACUUGAGUGCAGAAGAGGAGAGUGGAAUUCCACGUGUAGCGGUGAAAUGCGUAGAGAUGUGGAGGAACACCAGUGGCGAAGGCGACUCUCUGGUCUGUAACUGACGCUGAGGAGCGAAAGCGUGGGGAGCGAACAGGAUUAGAUACCCUGGUAGUCCACGCCGUAAACGAUGAGUGCUAAGUGUUAGGGGGUUUCCGCCCCUUAGUGCUGCAGCUAACGCAUUAAGCACUCCGCCUGGGGAGUACGGUCGCAAGACUGAAACUCAAAGGAAUUGACGAGGGGCCCGCACAACGCGGUGGAGCAUGUGGUUUAAUUCGAAGCAACGCGAAGAACCUUACCAGGUCUUGACAUCCUCUGACAACCCUAGAGAUAGGGCUUUCCCUUCGGGGACAGAGUGACAGGUGGUGCAUGGUUGUCGUCAGCUCGUGUCGUGAGAUGUUGGGUUAAGUCCCGCAACGAGCGCAACCCUUGAUCUUAGUUGCCAGCAUUCAGUUGGGCACUCUAAGGUGACUGCCGGUGACAAACCGGAGGAAGGUGGGGAUGACGUCAAAUCAUCAUGCCCCUUAUGACCUGGGCUACACACGUGCUACAAUGGACAGAACAAAGGGCUGCGAGACCGCAAGGUUUAGCCAAUCCCACAAAUCUGUUCUCAGUUCGGAUCGCAGUCUGCAACUCGACUGCGUGAAGCUGGAAUCGCUAGUAAUCGCGGAUCAGCAUGCCGCGGUGAAUACGUUCCCGGGCCUUGUACACACCGCCCGUCACACCACGAGAGUUUGCAACACCCGAAGUCGGUGAGGUAACCUUUAUGGAGCCAGCCGCCGAAGGUGGGGCAGAUGAUUGGGGUGAAGUCGUA
RNAcentral lists this ribosomal RNA (1454 nucleotides) under uncultured Bacillus sp. RNAcentral describes it as "16S ribosomal RNA". It matches the Rfam family "Bacterial small subunit ribosomal RNA". The record is from RNAcentral. Lineage: Bacteria; Bacillati; Bacillota; Bacilli; Caryophanales; Bacillaceae.